Paramuricea clavata is the source of this 467-nucleotide non-coding RNA. The record is from the annotation of a GenBank genome assembly. NCBI's taxonomy places the organism in Eukaryota, Metazoa, Cnidaria, Anthozoa, Malacalcyonacea, Plexauridae.
CACAGAAUAGAAAAUAAGACCAGAAGCCUCACUCAUCCAAAAUUAUGUCCGAGAUUUUUUAUGCGCAGGCGCGAGCCAGCAAGUGUAAUCCACGCCAUAAAACGCGAGCAAUUACGCCAUCAAUUGCCAUUACCAGGUAAUAAAGAUUGCUGUUUUAACCGUUUUGCUGACGAACGCUGACGUGAUGUUCGCAGCAAGUGUCACCCUGGUGUCACACACGUCAUCUAGCGUGCGAAAUUCGUGAUCCGCAAGGCGAAAAUCGCGGACACGAAAAUGUUAAGGAAAGGUGUACAGUGAGACUUCUGGUCGAUUAUAUAUUCUAUGAUCAGGUCUGUCGCGGCUUGACGUAUUCAUCAGGGCUGACGCAACUUGUCAUCAGCUUGCGGCGGCCAGGUAAACUCCGCAACUUGCAGCAAGUCUGAGAGAUUUCUGGCCGUGUAACAUAUACACAGCCAGAAACGCGCAAG